GCCACCCUAGCUCAGCUGGCAGAGCAGCUCACUCGUAAUGAGCAGGUCGUCGGUUCGAAUCCGACGGGUGGCU
RNAcentral lists this transfer RNA (73 nucleotides) under Anaerolineae bacterium. Its description in RNAcentral is "tRNA-Thr". It matches the Rfam family "tRNA". From Rfam's summary of the family: Transfer RNA (tRNA) molecules are approximately 80 nucleotides in length. Their secondary structure includes four short double-helical elements and three loops (D, anti-codon, and T loops). Lineage: Bacteria; Bacillati; Chloroflexota; Anaerolineae. The record is from RNAcentral.